RNAcentral lists this ribosomal RNA (519 nucleotides) under Fusarium proliferatum. RNAcentral's name for it is "eukaryotic LSU rRNA". The stretch from base 138 to 291 matches the Rfam family "5.8S ribosomal RNA". The record is from RNAcentral. Lineage: Eukaryota; Fungi; Ascomycota; Sordariomycetes; Hypocreales; Nectriaceae.
UCACUCCCAACCCCUGUGACAUACCAAUUGUUGCCUCGGCGGAUCAGCCCGCUCCCGGUAAAACGGGACGGCCCGCCAGAGGACCCCUAAACUCUGUUUCUAUAUGUAACUUCUGAGUAAAACCAUAAAUAAAUCAAAACUUUCAACAACGGAUCUCUUGGUUCUGGCAUCGAUGAAGAACGCAGCAAAAUGCGAUAAGUAAUGUGAAUUGCAGAAUUCAGUGAAUCAUCGAAUCUUUGAACGCACAUUGCGCCCGCCAGUAUUCUGGCGGGCAUGCCUGUUCGAGCGUCAUUUCAACCCUCAAGCCCUCGGGUUUGGUGUUGGGGAUCGGCGAGCCCUUGCGGCAAGCCGGCCCCGAAAUCUAGUGGCGGUCUCGCUGCAGCUUCCAUUGCGUAGUAGUAAAACCCUCGCAACUGGUACGCGGCGCGGCCAAGCCGUUAAACCCCCAACUUCUGAAUGUUGACCUCGGAUCAGGUAGGAAUACCCGCUGAACUUAAGCAUAUCAAUAGCCGGAGGAAA